Molecule: long non-coding RNA, 3079 nt
Organism: Macaca fascicularis (crab-eating macaque)
Lineage: Eukaryota; Metazoa; Chordata; Mammalia; Primates; Cercopithecidae
Source: Ensembl
AUGCUCCAGUCACUGCUGAGAGCAUCUUCUUUGGAGAUGGAAGAUGUGGCUAUAAGCGGGGCAACAAGGAGAGGAGGGUGGAGGUUUUUCACACGCACUGCAGAGUUUCCAGAGAUAAAGCCCCACAACCAGAGAUGGCAAAGCACCUCCUUCCUCUGCCUCCAGGGAGAAUUCAGCCGAGCAGGAAACCACAGAGUCUCUGGCUUCCGAGCGCUGGAGCAGUCUGUGAGUGUCAGGGACCCAGGAACCUCAGCCCCAGUCUGUCAUUCCCUUCGGCUUCUGGCUCAGUCCUACUGCAUCAUAUAAGGCCCCUGGGUGAACUUGGGGCUGGGAGGGGGUGCGGUACCCCUGGAGCAGCUGGGCCCACAGACUCACCAGGCUGAGAGAGUGUGGCCUCAGGAUCAAGAGCAGGGGCUUUUGAGGUCAUACAGGACUGGGAGCAAAUCUCAGCCCUGCAGCUUCUUGCUGUGGGACUGCAGAUAAAUGGGUUUCUCUGGGCCUGCAAAGCUCUCAAUAAACAGGAGCAGCCAGCAGCAGGACUGGAGUCCACAGGGCAUCUGUCCCUGAUCUCAGGUGUCCACAACCAUCCUCUCAGAAGACAGGCAAGCAAGGCAGCUCUUCUGCCCCUCAGCACUGGCCAGGCUAGGAUGCAGUGGAACAUCAGGACUUUAAGUCAUCCUUUAGGCCAAAGAAUCCCCACAUAACAAAUUCAUUGUGUGCAAUAAAGAACUUGGCUGUACCCCUAUCAGGGCGUUUGAGAUCCAAAUUGCUGCCUUGGCACUUCGGAGACACAGAAAGGAGAAAUGAGCUCAGGGUCUCUGGGAAAAGCCCUUUAAACCUGCUUGAGAAAUCAGAUGUCUGGCUGCGGCUCAUCUGCCCUCCAGGUCUGGAAUAAGCGGAAGGGACUCUGGAGGGCUGUCUGACAGGCAUGGAAAGCAGUGGGCAAGGGAGGGCAAGGUUUAGGGAAAGAGGGUGGCAGGAUGGUUCAUGCCUGUAAUCCAAGAACUUAGGGAGGCUGAGAUGGGAGGAUCACUUGAGGAGGAUCACUUGAGGCCAGGAGUUCAAGACCAGCCUGGGCAACAUAACAAGACCCUGUCUCUACUAAAUACAUUAAAAAUUAACAGGGUAUGGUGGCACGUGCCUGUGGUCCCAGCUACUUAGGAGGCUGAGGUGGGAAGAUUGCUUGUGCCCAGGAGGUCAAGGCUGAAGUGAGCUGUAACUGAGCCACUGCACUCCAGCCUGGGCAACAGAGCAAGACUCUGCCUCAAAACAAGACAAAAUAAAAAAACAGAGAAUGACAGGGACACACCAACACAAAGGGCUUCCCAGGUAUGCCUGGCCCCUGAGCCAGGGAAGCUCUGGGGCAUUUGGAGAGAAGAGCGCCCUUGAUGGUGUUAGAAUGAGCAGCCCUGGAACUCACAGACACAGGCCAAGAAGCAGCCUGGCCCUCACUCAGGCCAAGCUCUCCAGGCUUCACAAGUUUCCUCCCUUUCUCCCCAAGGCAGCCGUUCCGCUUGCACACUCAUUCAUUCAUUCAUUCAACACCCUUACCUGGAGCCUCCUCUGGGUGCCAAUGAAAAGAGAAGGGCAGAGUUGAUUAAUGAAAUUCAAUUUCUAAAUGCCAGAGCUCAGAGGACCAAUCAUGAUCACUCACGCUUCUCAGCUAUCCGUUGAGGAAUAGAGUAUCACGGGACUGCCAAAGAAGGUGACAAAAACUGCCCAAGAGAGACUGGAAAAGCCUUCACAGACGAGGGCACAUUUGAGCUGGGUCUUGAAGGCUGAGUAGGAGUUCAUCUUAGGAAUAAAGAAGAGAAGGAGGAGGAGCAGAAAAGGCAUUCCUGGCAAAGAGAGCAGCAAGGGGCAGGGAGGUAGGAAGGGCAGGGUGGGUUUGGGAGGUGGUAAAACGCGGAAGUGGAUUUCACUGGAAUAAAAAUCAGUGGAUGUGGAGGGCAGAGCAACAGAGACGUUCCAUGAAUGCCACACUGCAAGGUGAACGGACCCUGGGCCUGCCCACCCAUCUCCCUCCCCACCUGGAUUAGUGAGCUACCCCCAAACUUAGCAGCUUAAGACAACAGUAAACAUCUCCAUCCCUAUUCCAGUUUCUGUGGGUCAGGAGUCCAGGAGCAGCUGAGCUCAGGCUCUCUCCUGAGGUCGCCGUCCUCAGGGGUCUUGCUAGGGCUGGAGGACCCACCUCCAAGAUGGCACUCACAUGGUGCUGGCUGUUGGCAGGAGGCCUGGGUCCUCCCUACAUGGGCCUGCCCACAUGGUGGCACUCCCCAGAGAGGGUGAUACAAGAGAGAACCAGGCCAAAGCGAUAUCUUAGUGGAUAUUCAGACCAGCCCUAUGCAGUACGAGAGAAGACCAUGAACGAUGUAUCAGGAGUUGGGGAUUAGUAGUAGUAGUAGUAUUGUCAGGACCAUCUUGGAGGCUGGCUGCCAUGCCACCUCCCGUGGGCAGCCCUAGGCAGGUGCAUUAGUCCCUUCUCAUGCUGCUAUGAAGAAAUACCCAAGACUGAGUGAAUUAUAAAGGAAAGGGGUUUAAUUGACUCAGAGUUCAGCAGGGCUGGGGAGGUCUUAGAAAACUUACAAUCAUGGCAGAAGGAGAAGCGAACACAUCUUUCUUCACACGGUGGCAAGAAGGAGAAGAAUGGGAGCCGAGCAAAGGGGGAAGCCCCUUAUAAAACUAUCAGAUCGGCCGGACGCGGUGGCUCAAGCCUGUAAUCCCAGCACUUUGGGAGGCCGAGACGGGUGGAUCACGAGGUCAGGAGAUCGAGACCAUCCUGGCUAGCACGGUGAAACCCCGUCUCUACUAAAAAAUACAAAAAACUAGCCGGGCGAGGUGGCGGGCGCCUGUAGUCCCAGCUACUCGGGAGGCUGAGGCAGGAGAAUGGCGUAAACCUGGGAGGCGGAGCUUGCAGUGAGCUGAGAUCCGGCCACUGCACUCCAGCCUGGGCGACAGAGCGAGACUCCGUCUCAAAAAAAAAAAAACAAAAAAAAACAAAAAAAAAACUAUCAGAUCUCGUGAGAACUUACUCACAAGCGUGGGGGAAACCGCCCCCAUGAUUCAAUUACCUCCCACC